CACGUAUGCAACCUACCUUCAACUUGGGGAAUAGCCCGAAGAAAUUCGGAUUAAUAGCCCAUAAUAAUAGAAAUUCGCAUGUCUUUCUAUUUGAAACUCCGGUGGUUGAAGAUGGGCAUGCGCCCUAUAGUUGAGUCUGGUGAGGUAACGGCUCACCAAGACUCCGAUAGGUAGGGGUUCUGAGAGGAAGAUCCCCCACACUGGUACUGAGACACGGACCAGACUCCUACGGGAGGCAGCAGUGAGGAAUAUUGGACAAUGGACGAAAGUCUGAUCCAGCCAUGCCGCGUGUAGGAAGACUGCCCUCUGGGUUGUAAACUACUUUUAUAAGGGAAUAAACCCCCGUACGUGUACGGGGCUGAAUGUACCUUAAGAAUAAGCACCGGCUAACUCUGUGCCAGCAGCCGCGGUAAUACGAGAGGGUGCAAGCGUUAUCCGGAUUUAUUGGGUUAACAGGGUCCGUAGGUGGAAUUGUAAGUCAGUGGUGAACUCUUUCGGCUUAACCGGACAACUGCCAAUGAUAAUGCAGUUCCUUGAGUAUGCUCGAGGUAGGCUGGAUAGGUCAUGUACCGUUGAAAUGCAUAGAUAUGACAUAGGACACCAAUAGCGAAAGUCAGCUUACCAGAUCAUNACUGACACUGAGGUACGAAAGCUUGGUGAUCGAACAGGAUUAGAUACCCUGGUAGUCCACGCCGUAAACGAUGAUCACUAGACAUUGGCGACAUACUGUCGGUGUCAAAGCGAAAGUAUUAAGUGAUCCACCUGGGGAGUACGUCCGCAAGGAUGAAACUCAAAGGAAUUGACGGGGGUCCGCACAAUCCGGUGGAGCUAUGUUGGUCUUAACUUCGAUGAUACGCGAGGAACCUUACCUGGGCUCGAAUGGUAGUGGACGGUACGAGAAAUCGUACUUCCUUCGGGCUGCUGUCAAGGUGCUGCAUGGCUGUCGUCAGCUCGUGCCGUGAGGUGUUGGGUUAAGUCCCGCAACGAGCGCAACCCUUAUACUUAGUUGCCAGCACGUGAUGGUGGGGACUCUAAGUAGACUGCCUGCGCAAGCAGAGAGGAAGGAGGGGAUGACGUCAAGUCAUCAUGGCCCUUACGCCCAGGGCUACACACGUGCUACAAUGGCGCAUACAGAGGGUAGCUACAGAGUGAUCUGAUGCCAAUCUCAAAAAGUGCGUCUCAGUUCGGAUUGAGGUCUGCAACUCGACCUCAUGAAGUCGGAAUCGCUAGUAAUCGCGCAUCAGCCAUGGCGCGGUGAUACGUUCCCGGACCUUGUACACACCGCCCGUCAAGCCAUGGGAGUUGGG
This 1307-nucleotide ribosomal RNA is filed under the name uncultured organism. Its description in RNAcentral is "bacterial SSU rRNA". It matches the Rfam family "Bacterial small subunit ribosomal RNA", at positions 114 to 1415 of the family's 1533-position model. The record is from RNAcentral.